AUUGAACGCUGGCGGCAGGCCUAACACAUGCAAGUCGGACGGUAGCACAGAGAGCUUGCUCUCGGGUGACGAGUGGCGGACGGGUGAGUAAUGUCUGGGGAUCUGCCCGAUAGAGGGGGAUAACCACUGGAAACGGUGGCUAAUACCGCAUAACGUCGCAAGACCAAAGAGGGGGGCCUUCGGGCCCCUCACUAUCGGAUGAACCCAGAUGGGAUUAGCUAGUAGGCGGGGUAACGGCCCACCUAGGCGACGAUCCCUAGCUGGUCUGAGAGGAUGACCAGCCACACUGGAACUGAGACACGGUCCAGACUCCUACGGGAGGCAGCAGUGGGGAAUAUUGCACAAUGGGCGCAAGCCUGAUGCAGCCAUGCCGCGUGUAUGAAGAAGGCCUUCGGGUUGUAAAGUACUUUCAGCGGGGAGGAAGGCGAUGUGGUUAAUAACCGUAUCGAUUGACGUUACCCGCAGAAGAAGCACCGGCUAACUCCGUGCCAGCAGCCGCCGCGG
RNAcentral lists this ribosomal RNA (504 nucleotides) under uncultured bacterium. Its description in RNAcentral is "partial 16S ribosomal RNA". It matches the Rfam family "Bacterial small subunit ribosomal RNA", at positions 29 to 523 of the family's 1533-position model. The record is from RNAcentral.